Flavobacterium segetis is the source of this 71-nucleotide non-coding RNA. The record is from Rfam. NCBI's taxonomy places the organism in Bacteria, Pseudomonadati, Bacteroidota, Flavobacteriia, Flavobacteriales, Flavobacteriaceae.
UAAAAGUGAAGACCAGACCUCACUAUAAAAUAACGGGGCAACACCUGAAAAGCCAAAAGAGUAAGAAAAUU